RNAcentral lists this ribosomal RNA (253 nucleotides) under uncultured bacterium. RNAcentral's name for it is "partial 16S ribosomal RNA". It matches the Rfam family "Bacterial small subunit ribosomal RNA", at positions 524 to 776 of the family's 1533-position model. The record is from RNAcentral.
UACAGAGGGUGCAAGCGUUAAUCGGAAUGACUGGGCGUAAAGGGCGCGUAAGCGGGUUGUCAAGUCAGAUGUGAAAGCCCCGGGCUUAACCUGGGAUGUGCAUCUGAGACUGGCAAUCUAGAGUAGAGUAGAGGGAGGUGGAAUUUCCGGUGUAGCGGUGAAAUGCGUAGAUAUCGGGAAGAACACCCGUGGCGAAGGCGGCUCUCUGGGACGGUACUGACGCUGAGACGCGAAAGCGUGGGGAGCGAACAGG